Molecule: ribosomal RNA, 253 nt
Filed under: uncultured bacterium
Lineage: Bacteria
Description: partial 16S ribosomal RNA
Rfam family: Bacterial small subunit ribosomal RNA
Source: RNAcentral
UACGUAGGUGGCAAGCGUUGUCCGGAAUUAUUGGGCGUAAAGCGCGCGCAGGUGGUUCCUUAAGUCUGAUGUGAAAGCCCACGGCUCAACCGUGGAGGGUCAUUGGAAACUGGGGAACUUGAGUGCAGAAGAGGAAAGUGGAAUUCCACGUGUAGCGGUGAAAUGCGUAGAGAUGUGGAGGAACACCAGUGGCGAAGGCGGCUCACUGGCCCGGUACUGACGCUGAGGCGCGAAAGCGUGGGGAGCAAACAGG